UGGGGAAUAUUGCACAAUGGAGGGAACUCUGCUGCAGCGACGCCGCGUGAACGAAGAAGGCUUUCGAGUCGUAAAGUUCUUUUAUAUGGGAAGAUAAUGACGGUACCAUAAGAAAAAGCCCCGGCUAACUACGUGCCAGCAGCCGCGGUAAUACGUAGGGGGCUAGCGUUGUCCGGAAUCACUGGGCGUAAAGGGUUCGCAGGCGGAAAUGCAAGUCAGGUGUAAAAGGCAGUAGCUUAACUACUGUAAGCAUUUGAAACUGCAUAUCUUGAGAAGAGUAGAGGUAAGUGGAAUUUUUAGUGUAGCGGUGAAAUGCGUAGAUAUUAAAAAGAAUACCGGUGGCGAAGGCGACUUACUGGGCUCAUUCUGACGCUGAGGAACGAAAGCGUGGGUAGCAAACAGG
Molecule: ribosomal RNA, 403 nt
Filed under: bacterium
Lineage: Bacteria
Also listed under: 1 other name
Description: partial 16S ribosomal RNA
Rfam family: Bacterial small subunit ribosomal RNA
Source: RNAcentral